Drosophila sulfurigaster albostrigata is the source of this 208-nucleotide long non-coding RNA. RefSeq lists it as uncharacterized. The record is from RefSeq and is a predicted model, not a curated record. The transcript is spliced from 2 exons. NCBI's taxonomy places the organism in Eukaryota, Metazoa, Arthropoda, Insecta, Diptera, Drosophilidae.
UUGCCGUAAUCUAAUAAUAAUAAUAAUAAUCUUUUUCAUCACACAAUAAAAAUUUGCUUCAAUUUGGGGGAAGUCCACGAGUAUUCAUGUAAAGAAGUAUGGCAAAUACCGGGGCAGCUAUUAAUAAAGACAAGAUUCUAACAAAUAUUCGGGACGAAGAGGCGGCUCUACUGGAGCUGCUAAAACUUAUAAAACCACUAUUGAAAAA